CCUACGGGCGGCAGCAGUGAGGAAUAUUGGUCAAUGGGCGCGAGCCUGAACCAGCCAAGUCGCGUGAAGGAUGAAUGCCCUACGGGUUGUAAACUUCUUUUAUAAAGGAAUAAAGUGAGGCACGUGUGCCUCUUUGUAUGUACUUUAUGUAUAAGGAUCGGCUAACCCCGUGCCAGCAGCCGCGGUAAGAAGGAGGAUCCGAGCGUUAUCCGGAUUUAUUGGGUUUAAAGGGAGCGUAUCUGGGUUGUUAAGUCAGUGGUGAAAGUUCGCGGCUCAACCGUAGAAUUGCAAUUGAUACUGGCAGGCUGGAGUGCAGUUGAGGUAGGCGGAAUUCGUGGUGUAGCGGUGAAAUGCUUAGAUAUCGCGAAGAACUCCGAUUGCGAAGGCAGCUUACUGAACUGCAACUGACGUUGAUGCUCGAAAGUGUGGGUAUCAAACAGGAUUAGAUACCCGGGUAGUC
RNAcentral lists this ribosomal RNA (460 nucleotides) under uncultured bacterium. Its description in RNAcentral is "partial 16S ribosomal RNA". It matches the Rfam family "Bacterial small subunit ribosomal RNA", at positions 338 to 795 of the family's 1533-position model. The record is from RNAcentral.